AGAGUUUGAUCCUGGCUCAGGACGAACGCUGGCGGCGUGCUUAAAACAUGCAAGUCGAACGAGGUAGUUAUUAGCACGAAGCAAAUUAAAUAAUAGUUUGUUUCGUGCUGAUAAUUGCUUAGUGGCGGACGGGUGAGUAACGCGUGAGUAAUUUGCCUUCUACUGGGGAAUAACAUUUAGAAAUAGAUGCUAAUACCGCAUAUGACCACAACCCGGCAUCGGGAAGGGGUGAAAGGAGUAAUUCGGUAGGAGAUAAGCUUGCGUAUCAUUAGCUAGUUGGUGAGGGUAAUGGCCCACCAAGGCUUCGAUGAUUAGCCGAUCUGAGAGGAUAAACGGCCACACUGGAACUGAGAUACGGUCCAGACUCCUACGGGAGGCAGCAGUUAGGAAUAUUGGGCAAUGGAGGAAACUCUGACCCAGCAACGCCACGUGAAGGAUGAAGGUUUUCGGAUUGUAAACUUCUGUUCUAUGGGAAAAAACAAAUGAUGGUACCAUAGGAGAAAGCCACGGCUAACUACGUGCCAGCAGCCGCGGUAAUACGUAGGUGGCGAGCGUUGUUCGGAAUGACUGGGCGUAAAGGGAGCGUAGGUUGUUUUUUAAGUUAAAUGUGAAAGCCCGGGGCUUAACUCCGGAAUGCCAUUUGAUACUGGAAAACUAGAGUGCAGGAGGGGUGAGCGGAAUUCCUAGUGUAGCGGUGGAAUGCGUAGAUAUUAGGAAGAACACCAGAGGCGAAGGCGGCUCACUGGACUGUUACUGACACUGAGGCUCGAAAGCGUGGGGAGCAAACAGGAUUAGAUACCCUGGUAGUCCACGCCCUAAACGAUGGAUACUAAACGUGG
This 839-nucleotide ribosomal RNA is filed under the name uncultured bacterium. RNAcentral's name for it is "bacterial SSU rRNA". It matches the Rfam family "Bacterial small subunit ribosomal RNA", at positions 8 to 825 of the family's 1533-position model. The record is from RNAcentral.